UUACGGCGAGCGUUGUCCGGAUUUUGGGCGUAAAGAGCUCGUAGGCGGCUUGUCCGUCGGAUGUGAAAGCCCGGGGCUUAACCCCGGGUCUGCAUUCGAUACGGGCUAGCUAGAGUGUGGUAGGGGAGAUCGGAAUUCCUGGUGUAGCGGUGAAAUGCGCAGAUAUCAGGAGGAACACCGGUGGCGAAGGCGGAUCUCUGGGCCAUUACUGACGCUGAGGAGCGAAAGCGUGGGGAGCGAACAGGAUUAGAUACCCUGGUAGUCCACGCCGUAAACGUUGGGAACUAGGUGUUGGCGACAUUCCACGUCGUCGGUGCCGCAGCUAACGCAUUAAGUUCCCCGCCUGGGGAGUACGGCCGCAAGGCUAAAA
This 370-nucleotide ribosomal RNA is filed under the name uncultured Streptomyces sp. RNAcentral's name for it is "bacterial SSU rRNA". It matches the Rfam family "Bacterial small subunit ribosomal RNA", at positions 529 to 899 of the family's 1533-position model. The record is from RNAcentral. Lineage: Bacteria; Bacillati; Actinomycetota; Actinomycetes; Kitasatosporales; Streptomycetaceae.